RNAcentral lists this ribosomal RNA (361 nucleotides) under uncultured bacterium. RNAcentral's name for it is "partial 16S ribosomal RNA". It matches the Rfam family "Bacterial small subunit ribosomal RNA", at positions 338 to 696 of the family's 1533-position model. The record is from RNAcentral.
CCUACGGGUGGCAGCAGUGAGGAAUAUUGGUCAAUGGACGCAAGUCUGAACCAGCCAUGCCGCGUGCAGGAUGACGGCCCUAUGAGUUGUAAACUGCUUUUGUACGGGGAUAAAAUCUGACACGUGUGUCGGGUUGAAAGUACCGUACGAAUAAGGAUCGGCUAACUCCGUGCCAGCAGCCGCGGUAAUACGGAGGAUCCGAGCGUUAUCCGGAUUUAUUGGGUUUAAAGGGUGCGUAGGCGGGUUGUUAAGUUAGUGGUGAAAUGUCGGGGCUCAACCCCGAAACUGCCUUUAAUACUGGUGGACUAGAGAAGAGUAGAGGUAGGCGGAAUGCAUGGUGUAGCGGUGAAAUGCUUAGAGA